This 491-nucleotide ribosomal RNA is filed under the name uncultured bacterium. RNAcentral describes it as "partial 16S ribosomal RNA". It matches the Rfam family "Bacterial small subunit ribosomal RNA", at positions 29 to 507 of the family's 1533-position model. The record is from RNAcentral.
GUGCACGCUGGCGGUAGGCCUAACACCUGCCAGUCGCACGGCAGCACAGUAAGAGCUUGCUCUUACGGGUGGCGAGUGGCGGACGGGUGAGGAAUACAUCGGAAUCUACUUUUUCGUGGGGGAUAACGUAGGGAAACUUACGCUAAUACCGCAUACGACCUACGGGUGAAAGCAGGGGAUCUUCGGACCUUGCGCGAUUGAAUGAGCCGAUGUCGGAUUAGCUAGUUGGCGGGGUAAAGGCCCACCAAGGCGACGAUCCGUAGCUGGUCUGAGAGGAUGAUCAGCCACACUGGAACUGAGACACGGUCCAGACUCCUACGGGAGGCAGCAGUGGGGAAUAUUGGACAAUGGGCGCAAGCCUGAUCCAGCCAUACCGCGUGGGUGAAGAAGGCCUUCGGGUUGUAAAGCCCUUUUGUUGGGAAAGAAAAGCAGCAGGUUAAUACCCCGCUGUUCUGACGGUACCCAAAGAAUAAGCACCGGCUAACUUCGUG